This is a long non-coding RNA of Sinocyclocheilus rhinocerous, 785 nucleotides long. RefSeq lists it as uncharacterized. NCBI's taxonomy places the organism in Eukaryota, Metazoa, Chordata, Actinopteri, Cypriniformes, Cyprinidae. The transcript is spliced from 3 exons. The record is from RefSeq and is a predicted model, not a curated record.
UGUUGGAUUGGUGGAGAUCGGAAGUAGUUUGUGCAUGCUAAUGAAGGAGUUGGGGUUGUGGAUAUUUACGUUCAACGGGAGCCGCCCUUCAUUCACCACAUGGUUAAAAGCUGAGUGCGUUCGCGCCACUUUCGCAAUUUUACUACGGUUUUGCAACGCAACCCACAGCGUGCUCGGAUGCUGUGUUUCCACCAUCGGGGCGCUGGAAGUUUACCGUUUAGUUUCGACGAUUUGCCCGGAGCGUUGACGGUGAACGAAAAGCCUUCGACCACCUCAAGUCACCAGGGUCCAGUGGACGUGGUCCGCCGCUAACGCCGUCCCAAAAGUGGAUCUGCCCGGUUCCUCGUGGCCGUGAGCUUGUCGACUCCAUGUCGGCGUAGUGCCAAAGUGCUUACAGUGCAGGUAGUUCUGUAAAAUCUACUGCAGUGGAGGCACUUCAAGCUCUACUUUGACAUGAACGCACACGAGCGGCGACGUCAACUACUGCUUAUGCUAAGGUGCAUUUAGUGCAGAUAGUGAAAUAGACUAGCACCUACUGCCCUAAGUGCCCCUUCUGGCAUAAGGGGCUGGCAAAUCCCGCUGUUCCCCAUUGGCUGUCCCCUAUUCUUUCAUUUCAUGCAGUUCUCUGCUAGUUUUGCAUAGUUGCACUACAAGAAAUAUUGAGUUGUGCAAAUCUAUGCAAAACUGAUGGUGGCCUGCUUCGCCAUCCUUUCCUGUGCCUCUGGCUUUGACCGUUUCUGCUUAAGCGUGCGUGCGUAUGUGUGUUUUUCAGGUUAACCCCUGUU